GCAUAUCAAUAAGCGGAGGAAAAGAAAAUAACAAUGAUUCCCUUAGUAACUGCGAGUGAAGAGGGACAAGCUCAAAUUUUAAAUCUGUUAGGUUUACCUAACCGAGUUGUAAUUUGAAGAGGCGUUUUCUGCGCAGUUUGGACAGCCCAAGUCCUAUUGAAUGAGGCAUCAUGGAGGGUGAUAAUCCCGUCCGGCUGAUCAUUGCGUUUUACGAUGCGCUUUCUAAGAGUCAAGUUGUUUGGGAUUGCAGCUUAAAAUGGGAGGUAAAUUUCUCCUAAGGCUAAAUAUUGGCGAGAGACCGAUAGCGAACAAGUACCGUGAGGGAAAGAUGAAAAGUACUUUGAAAAGAGAGUUAAAUAGCACGUGAAAUUGUUGGAAGGGAAACGAUUGAAGCCAGUCGUACCUGCGGACAAUCAGCCUUUCGGGUGCGAUUCUGUGGAGCGUGAGGAGUUAAACGCCUUCAUGCCUGCAUAUUCGUGCACUUUGGGUGUACUUGCCCGUGUGGUAGGUUAACAUCAAUUUCGGAUAUCAUAAAAUGGCUGGAGGAAUGUAGCUUCGGUCUCGUACUGAAGUGUUAUAGCCUCUGGUAGAUGUGAUGACCGGGAUUGAGGAUUGCAACGAAUACCUUUUGGGCUACCCGCCUGAUCUCUGAAAGUUGCUCUGGUGCCGAAAGCUUGCUUACGGUCAUUAAAGUUGACGUUCAAAAGGUUAGAACGGGUUAAAUUCGUUAAGGAUGUUGACGUAAUGGCUUUAAACGACCCGUCUUGAAACACGGACCA
RNAcentral lists this ribosomal RNA (779 nucleotides) under Rhizophagus intraradices. Its description in RNAcentral is "LSU rRNA". It matches the Rfam family "Eukaryotic large subunit ribosomal RNA", at positions 38 to 668 of the family's 3401-position model. Lineage: Eukaryota; Fungi; Glomeromycota; Glomeromycetes; Glomerales; Glomeraceae. The record is from RNAcentral.